This 323-nucleotide ribosomal RNA is filed under the name uncultured eukaryote. Its description in RNAcentral is "partial 18S ribosomal RNA". It matches the Rfam family "Eukaryotic small subunit ribosomal RNA", at positions 1470 to 1796 of the family's 1831-position model. The record is from RNAcentral.
CCCUUAGAUGUUCUGGGCCGCACGCGUGCUACACUGAACGGUUCAAUGGGUAAGGUAGUGCGAAAGCAUGACCUAAUCUCGAAAUCCGUUCGUGCUGGGGAUAGAAGCUUGCAAUUAUCCUUCUUGAACGAGGAAUACCUUGUAAGCGUGAGUCAUCAUCUCACGCUGAAUACGUCCCUGCCCUUUGUACACACCACCCGUCGCUCCUACCGAUUGAGUGUUCCGGUGAGGCUUUGGGAGAAUGGCCUCAACAUGAGUUUAUCGUGUUUUGCCGUUUGAACUUAGUCAAACCUUAUCACUUAGAGGAAGGAGAAGUCGUAACA